RNAcentral lists this unclassified non-coding RNA (335 nucleotides) under Hevea brasiliensis (rubber tree). Lineage: Eukaryota; Viridiplantae; Streptophyta; Magnoliopsida; Malpighiales; Euphorbiaceae. The record is from RNAcentral.
AAAAAUGCUUCAACUGCAUUUUUAUUUUAAUCUAUUAUAUUCAACUGAGAAGUUUUAUAUGGAUAUAAAGGAGCUAAGAAAUAAUGCUUCCACAGCAGAUUGUGAUGUAUAAUCUAAUAACUUUCGAUACAUUACAUGAAUGCAGGUAUAUGGUUAUCGGAUGUCUCUUUGGGCAGAGCACCUUGGCAUCCUUGAGGAGGAGUUCCGCGAACCACAGACUUUAAAAUGCAUAAAGCUUGUCAACAAGAUCGCCAAACGUAACUGGAAGACUUACGUUGCUGAGGAGAACAAGGAAAUGAGAGGACACCUGGCGCUGGUGGGCUGGUGGGGCGGCG